This 5716-nucleotide long non-coding RNA is filed under the name Sus scrofa (pig). RNAcentral's name for it is "lncRNA (ENSSSCG00005041290.1)". Lineage: Eukaryota; Metazoa; Chordata; Mammalia; Artiodactyla; Suidae. The record is from RNAcentral.
UUUUUUCUUUUUUUUCUUUUUUUGCCUUUUUGCCAUUUCUUGGGUUGCUCCCACGGCAUAUGGAGGUUCCCAGGCUAGAUGUCAAAUCGGAGCUGUAGCAGCCGGCCGAUACCACAGCCACAGCAAUGCGGGAUCCGAGCCGCAUCUGCGACCUACACCACAGCUCAUGGCAAAUCUGAAUCCUUAACCCACUGAGCAAGGCCAGGGAUCGAACCCGCAACCUCAUGGUUCCUAGUCGGAUUCGUUAACCACCAAGCCACGAUGGGAACUCCCUGCCUCCACUAUAUUCUUAUCCACAAUGCUCUAAACAGUAACAUCCCCCCCAAAAAAAACAAAAUAAAAUAAAAAAUAAACAGUAACAUCCUUCAAAAUUAUGCUCAAUGUUUUAGAUAGAUGGAUAGGGAUUGUGGAUGUACUUUAAAAAGACCCCAGCAAAGUCUGUGAAAGAUGCCUACAGUACCAAGAGCCCCAGGGACAGGUCUUUAGAGAUAAGAAUUACAUCUCUGUAGUCAUAGUCUUAUACAUACAUGCCUAUUACAUGCAUAUAUUUAUGUACAGAUUUAGAUAACCUAGAAGAUAGCAAAAUACCACACAAUUGCUUACCUACUAUGGCAAUCAUUAUUUACUUAUAUUGGCUAAUAAUAAGCAUGUUUAUGAUGAACUGAAAAAGAAAAGGUAUAAAGUAAAUGGCCUCCGAGCAAGAACAAAAGUCAAAAAUAUCUCAGAAUUUAAAGUUCAAAAGCCAAAUUCUCAGUUUAAAAAGGCUGGAAUUCCCAUCAUGGCUCAGUAUGGUUAACGAAUCCGACUAGGAACCAUGAGGUUGCGGGUUCGAUCCCUGGCCUUGAUUAGUGGGUUAAGGAUUCAGUGUUGCCGUGAGCUGUGGCGUAGGUUGCAGACGUGGCUCGGAUCCCGUGUUUGCUGUGGCUCUGGCAUAGGCCGGUGGCUACAGCUCCAAUUUGACCCCUAGCCUGGGAACCUCCAUAUACCACAGAAGCAGCCCAAGAAAAAGACAAAAAAAAAGGAAAAAAAAAACCCUGCAGAACGCACAAUACCAAGAGUGACCAUGUUGCAAAUGACAGACUUUGGGUAAUUAUGAUGUAUCUAUGUAAGAUCCCCAAUUGUAACAAAUGUAUCACAUUAACAUAAAAUGUCAAUAGAAGGGGAUAUUGGGAGGGAGAGGGCAGGAGAAGGUGGUACAUGGGAACUGAACUUGAACUUGCUGUAAACUUGAGACUGAAAGAACAGUUUCUAUUAAAUUCUAUCCAUUUUUUUUAAAAAAAGAAAGAAAAGCCUAUUCUAUUCCUGUCUGUCAGAGCCAAAGGUGCCUGGGAAGAGGUGCAAUAAACAGCUCGUGCUAAAGCUUAAAACAACAAUGUCCUUGGAUCAAGCUCAGAAAGAAAACAGCUUAUAAUUAAAAUAAAAUGUCAAAAAACACAAAUCGAGUUCCAUGGUAGACAAACUGAAAGCAGAAACAAAGGUAGCAAAAUCAGUAUUAGGGAAUAAAAGAAAAUUUCUGGGGAGGCCAGUUGGGAUGCUAUAACUUCCAAUUAACUAUCGAAAGGAAAAUUGUGCACUUGAAAAAGCAACUAUUUCUGAAGAGGAACAAAGGAAAUGUAAGCAAUUGCACAUUGCACAUGUUGAGAAAUACAAUAUAAAAGCAUCAUUUGAUGGGUUCAGAGCAAAAACACAAUUUGCUACACAAGGCAAGGAAUACCUCAAACUUCAUGAAUGUAGGAAUUACAUACCACACAUCAUUUAUAUCUGAUGAAAAUCAAACACCGUUUAAUAUUUAUUAAGGUAUUUUGCAUAUUUUCUUAUUUUAUAGUAACAAACCAAUUCUUCCCCUUUCUCCUUUGUUUCUUGGCCACCUCGUGGCAUAUGGAAUUCCCAGGCCAGGGAUCAGAUCUGAACUGCAGUUGCAACCUACUGCUAGAUCCUUAACCCACUGUGCCAGGCCAGGAAGCCAACCUGUGUUCCAGCACUGCAGAGAUGCCGCCAAUCCCAUUGCACCUCAGCAAGAACUCCUUAACAAACCAAUUCUUAUUUCAAGUGAUACGCUGCCAAAUAACUGUCUUUGGGAGGCGGGGGAAGUGUCCGGAUUUGUAGCAAUACUUAUUUCCAUCAUGGCUGACUUCAAUCCAUCUAUAAUGUAACAACCAGCUGGUAAAAUUCCUGCCAGACACUAGAUCCAAAACACCACUUCAAGUAAUUGUUCAUUUACAACAAGGAAACUGGCUUCUAAUUAAAGUCAAUUGUCAGAUGUGAAUGGAAUGUGAACUCAGGUCCUCAGUUUUUAAGAACUUUCAGAUCAAUGGCUUUAUUUCCUCCAUAACAGACAGAUUUUGAUAUAUUUGGGUUUUUUCCUCCUUAAAAGUCCGUAUUAUUAACAUACUAUUUGCUUGGAAUAACUAUUUCCCAAAUGAAAUAUUUUGGUUGUAUCUUCAAAUUCAUUUACACAAAAUGGGCUAACAAGAAAAGGCUUCACCAUUUUGAUCAGACAUAGAUUUAUCUAUAUUUUCUUUUAACUCUUUUUUACCUAGUUUUAUUUAGUCCAUUUACCAUCUGUCCAGGAGUUGCCAUUGUGGCUCAGUGGGUUAAGAACCCAACAUAGAGUUUGUGAGGAUGUGGGUUCAAUCCCUGGCCUUGCUCAGUGGGUUAAGGAUCUGAUGUUGCUGUGGCUGUGGUGCAGGCCUGCAGCUGCAGGUCCUAUUCGACCCAUAGAGCCCAGCAACUUCCCUAUGCCACAGAUGUGGCCAUAAAAACAUAAAUAAAUAAACAAGUAAAUAUCUCCAGUUGGAAUAUGGGGUGUUAUACAAUAAAGAUUUUAUAAUUUUUCCUCAAUUCUGAAUCAAUUCUUCUUGGUAUCUUUACUAAAAUUUAGUCAUUGGCCUUGUUUACUAUCAUAAACUAAAUUCAUAUUCAUAUUUGAAUAUGUUUUCUAUGCUACUCAUUAAUAAUCAUUUUUGUAUCAAUAUCAUUUUUUAAUUAUUGUAGCUUUAUAAUAGAUUUUCUUAUCUGUUGGUACAAAUACUCCUGGGUUUACUCAUUAUCUUCAGUAAUUUCUCAUCUACUGUCAUUCACUUAUACUUCCAAGACUAUUCACACCCUCACAAAAUAAUUAGAAAACUGACAUCUUAAUUAAAACUUCUUAAUCUAGAACCUAGCAUAUCCUCACUAAUUUGUCUUCUUUCAGGUACCCAAAGAAAAAUGUACACUUUCCUUUAUAAGGGAAUCUAUCCAAUUCUUAUUCAUUCUAUUUCUAAAUACUUUUAAGUUUCUAUCCUGUGUGAAUGUAAUCAUUUUCCUCACUACCCAGUCCAACUUAUUUCCUUCUGGAUGAAUUUCAAUGGGUAGAAAAAUUAAGACUUUUGCUUGUUCUUUGGACAGCUGUUCCUAAAAUGUUUAUUUAUUCUAGUCUAAAUUGUUCCCAUUGAAAACAAUUUCUAAACAUAGAAGUCUUAUGACAUCUUUGGCACAUUUCCAAUGUUUUUUUUACUUGAAAUCUACUACAGAAAUAUUGCUUAUUAUAAAGUUAAAGACAAAUGACCUAUCAAGUAAAAUACUCCAUCAUUCACUCAGCCAGAGUCUCCCUGCGGUUAUCAUUUUCCUGUGCUCUUUUGAACACACAGAAGCUCAGCUAAGAAACUAUUCUAAGAAUUUAGAAAUAAUGUGGUAUUUCAAAAAUGGGCAGGAACCCAGGAGUCAGAAGAUAAGCGUCUUAGGACUUGAUUUGGCUACUUAGCAUCAUUAUACUCUUGGUCAAAUUAGUGAACCUCUCCAAGCUUUGCUUCUGCUCCAGAAAAUGAACAAGCUAUAGCUCAACCAUGGGUAUGGUAUACGAAGCAUCAGAAAGGUUGUUUUCAUUUCUCUUCUUCAUUCUUCUGCCCAUAAAAAUAUUCACUGCCAAUGAAAAACCUAUGGUGGCAAGCUUUUCUUCUCUGGCCAGACGUGAGCCUGGGUAUUAGCUCAGAAUCGCCCUAAAGUGAAAAUAUGACCACCAGAAUCCUCCAGCAAACACCCCCAGCUGUUUUAUCCAGCAAAUACACCUAGAUCCAGGACCCGGUGGAGGUAAACAACCACAUAUGGUUGUGUAGCCAUUUUUCUUUGACUUCUAAGACAGCCAGCAGAAUCUAAGUGGGCUGAGCCCUCUCUACCCCUGAGGCUAAGGUGACGUCAGAAGCCCAAGAGCAAAAGGAUUUCCUAUUAAUAUCUUAACUGUUUACUAAGGAGGAGAGGCUCACAGAGGCUGAGCCUGCUUUCCCUUCUAUUACUCUUGGGAUUACACUUCAAAACUUAAGCUGUAUGGCCCACACUUAAUUAGCUGGCCAAUGAAUAUAGCUGCAUACCUACUGGUCCCAGCAGCCAGAGACAAAGGAAAUAAAAAUUUACCAAAUACCAAGAGCAAAUAUCAUUAUAAGUUUCAAAAUACCAAACUUAGUUCAAUUAAAAUAAAAACUAAACAGGGAGUUUCCCUGGUGGUCUAGCGGUUAGGACUCAGUGCUUUCAUGACCAGGGUCUGAGUUCAAUACCUCAUUUGGAAACUGAAAUCCCACAUCAAGCCACUGCACACUGUGGCAAGAAAGGAAGGGAGGGAGGGAGGAAGGGAGGAAGGAAAAAAGGAAAGAAGGAAGGAACUAGAGAUUGAUUCUUGCCUUAUCAUUCAACACCAUCCUGAAGGUUAUGGGAUAAUAUAAGUAAAUGCAGUAAUUCAAGAAAUACAAAUUAUUGUUACAAGUACUGGAAAUAAGACAUGAAAUUUCCUUUCUUUUUUUUUUUUUGGCUGUGCCCAUAGCAUGGAGGGCCAAGUAUCAAACCCACACCACAGCGGUAACCAGAACCACAGCAGUGACAAUGCCAGACCUUUAACCCACUGAGCCACCAGUGACCUCCUGAAAUUUCUUUGUUAGCUAGCAAUUAGCCUGUAGAAAUGAAAAUGAGUAAAAACCUAUUCACAAAUAUAAAAUAGAUAGGAAUAACUUUAUUUUAAAAGUAUUAGGAUGUAUAUAGGGAAACUGUAAGAACUUCUUAAAGGACGUAAAGCGAAGAUAUGAAUGAAGGGAAGGACAUACUUGUAGAUAAAAGCACUUGUUAUUAUGUGUCAGUUCUCACAAAAUUAAUAUAUUAAUCCGUAUAAUUUCAAUUAAAUUUAAAUACUAUUUCGUUUGGGUUGUACUGGAUAAAAUUAUCUUAGUAUAUACCUGGAGGAAUAAAUACCAAAGAACUGCUAAAAAAUUUAUUUUAGAAGAAUACAUAGUACAGGAGUUCCCAUCGUGGCUCAGUGGUUAACAAAUCCGACUAGGAACCAUGAGGUUGCGGGUUUGAUCCCUGGCCUCGCUCAGUGGGUUAAGGAUAUGGCGUUGCUGUGGCUGUGGUGUAGGUUAGCAGCUGCAGUUCUGAUUCGACCCCUAACCUGGGAACUUCCAUAUGCCAGGGGUGCGGCCCUAGAAAAGACAAAAAGACCAAAAAGAAAAAAAAAAAAAAAAAAACAUGGUACAACCACUACGGAAAAAGUAUGGCGGUACUUCAGAAAACUAAAUAUAUAACUACCAUCUGAUCCAGCAAUCCCACUCCUGGGCAUCUAUCUGGAAAAAACUUUCAUUCAAAAAGAUACAGGCUGAAUAUCAACUAUAAUAGAGAAAAUAAAAAUCUUAAAAAAGGAGUUCCUGUCGGGGCACAGUGGAAAUGAAUCUGACUAGGAACCAUGAGGUUGUGGGUU